RNAcentral lists this ribosomal RNA (507 nucleotides) under uncultured fungus. RNAcentral's name for it is "eukaryotic LSU rRNA". The stretch from base 164 to 317 matches the Rfam family "5.8S ribosomal RNA". Lineage: Eukaryota; Fungi. The record is from RNAcentral.
AAAGUGGCGUGGCCCUUCGGGGUAUCCCUCCCACCCUUUGUUUAAAAACCCUGAGUUGCGUUGGCAGACCCGGCUUCGGCCCACCGGCUCCGGCUAGUCAGUAUCUGCCAGAGGACCUAAAACUCUGUUUGUUAAUAUUGUCUGAGUACUAUAUAAUAGUUAAAACUUUCAACAACGGAUCUCUUGGUUCUGGCAUCGAUGAAGAACGCAGCGAAAUGCGAUAAGUAAUGUGAAUUGCAGAAUUCAGUGAAUCAUCGAAUCUUUGAACGCACAUUGCGCCCUCUGGUAUUCCGGGGGGCAUGCCUGUUCGAGCGUCAUUACAACCCUCAAGCUUUGCUUGGUAUUGGGCCGCGCCGGCAACGGCGGGCCUCAAAAACAGUGGCGGCGCCAUCGUGUCCCUCAGCGUAGUAAUUCUUCUCGCUGUUGGGCCCCGGUGGCCGCUGGCCAGCAACCCCCAAUUUUUCUAUGGUUGACCUCGGAUCAGGUAGGGAUACCCGCUGAACUUAA